CGCGGCGCAGGCCCACUGGGGGCCCGGGCUCUCCGGGGCCCGCCUGCGGCGCUCGGCGGGUGCUGCCCGCAUCCCUCCGAGGCCGCGGGCGCCAGGGAUGCGCAGGGCCGCGCCUCCUCCACACUCGAGGGAUGAGCCGCUUUGAAACCGCAGCAGAGAAGCACUCUUAAGAGUGUGAUGAGGAAGCCCCAGAAUGAAGGCUUCCCACACCCAGAAAAGUCUGAAACCACGCGCUCCAAGGCACUCUGCCUUCCUCUCUCUCGGGCUGCCUCCCUGAUGCCGCCACAGCCCACUGACAGAACGGGCAACAAAAACCUUCCCUUCCUCCUCCUGCAGCAGAACCGAUUAAACAGGAGAAAAGGUGGAAAGAUUCACACCGAACUGUCGUCACUGCGAAGGAUGGGAGGGAGAGGAGUUAGAAUGACACUCCCACUGACACUCCGUUCUGCUGUAGUUGAAGUGAGCAGAAAAUGGGGUCAAGGAGGAUGUGUCUUCACAGAGGAAAACACGCCUUAUAGUCUCAAAAUUAGAAGGGACCUUGGAUGUCGUCGGGAACAAUCCCCCGGCACCAUCACUUCCGUGUCGGGGGUCGCCUGCCCGCUUGGAGCACUUAGAGCAAUGGGGACCUUUCCGCACCGGCUGCUUUGUGGGCAGCCCGCUCUGGUCUGUAGUGUGUCACAGGGUGGAGCUCUGCCUCUGGGUGAAUCCCACUCAUUCGCCCUAGUUUUGCUCUUGGGGGCAACACAGAAGAACUCUGUGCUGUCUUCCAUGGACAGCUCACGGAGACGUUGUCUCACGGAGGCGUGUGCCCUCUUGCAUCUUUUUUCCAGGCUAAUUGUUGGGUGUCCUCUUGACACUGAGCUGUGCCAGUGUCUCCGAUCUCUGUCCUGGUUGGGCACGCCCUGGAUUGUAGUGUCUCUGACUGUAGUGCAGACCUGGAGCUGAAUCCGCAAGCGGCCGGACAAGCUCGCAGAGCAGUGGUCGGCGUGUUCUAACUCUGUUAACAUCGCCUAAAGUUGCUUUAGGAUGUUGGCCGCGACAGCAUCCCAUGGGGUUCUGCACCGAGGCUGAGCUUGUGCGUGAGAUGAACUGAAACCCCAGACGUGGUUCACGCAGACUGUCACUUUCCCCUCCCUCUCGUGUGCUUUAUUUGGAAGAUAGGAAAUCAGAGCGUCACCUUUGUUUUGGUAUGUAGACCAGCUUUUUAUGAUUGAAAGAUUAGUUUAUUGCUUUUUUAAAAAAUGUUCAUUUUCAGGUGGUAAAAGUACAAAGGGGAAAGUGAAAAUCACCCCAAAUUCUUCUCUCUAGGAGUGAGCGCCUUCUAAAAAAGUAUGCAAAUUUGUUUGUAAUAGUAUCAAAGAGGACAGUUAUUUAUCAGUCAGUUUACAGUUGCAAUGGCAAUUAUGUUUAGUCAUUUUUAAGUGUAGAAAGAGGUCUGUGACAUAACACAUAAAAAAGAAAAUUGCCAAACUGUAUGAUCCCUCUUUUGUUAAUUACAGAAAGAAACUCCAUGCA
Molecule: non-coding RNA, 1515 nt
Organism: Vicugna pacos (alpaca)
Lineage: Eukaryota; Metazoa; Chordata; Mammalia; Artiodactyla; Camelidae
Source: RefSeq, a predicted model, not a curated record